GGGAGUGAAGUUAAGCCAGUGCGGGUAUAAACCUUACCCUACCAUUCCUACUAGGCAGGUGCUACUAAACCCUUCCUAGCUGAUGUCAGCACAAAGGGCCAGCAAAAGCUACCACAACCGCGAGGUCGACAAGGACAACCCACCGAGAAGCCCCGAAGCCAGCACCCCACACCGCCCGAGCCAGGCCCGGAACGCUAGCGUCACGGGAAGAGCUCUCCGGCUCGGGGCCAGCAACCGGGAGGCAAGGCGGAAGGGAGCCGCAGGCGGAAACGCAGGCCGCCGGACGCCGGGAGCUGCGCCUCACCUACUCCGCGCGCGCGCAGACACGCUCAGUGGCCGGCCAGGUCCGGCCUCUGCAAGCGUGUGGGGGCUCGGGGUCCACUGAGGGAUGGCAGGUCCCGCACGGGUCCCGCAGACCAGCAGCCGACGGCAGUCCAGACCACGAAAAGCGACGGAGGCGCAGGCAGCGCGCAGGAGUCGGGCGCCCGGAGCGGCCG
This 497-nucleotide long non-coding RNA is filed under the name Rattus norvegicus (Norway rat). Its description in RNAcentral is "long non-coding RNA NONRATT027689". Lineage: Eukaryota; Metazoa; Chordata; Mammalia; Rodentia; Muridae. The record is from RNAcentral.